Molecule: ribosomal RNA, 610 nt
Filed under: uncultured fungus
Lineage: Eukaryota; Fungi
Description: eukaryotic LSU rRNA
Rfam family: Eukaryotic large subunit ribosomal RNA
Source: RNAcentral
ACCCGCUGAAUUUAAGCAUAUCAAUAAGCGGAGGAAAAGAAACCAACAGGGAUUGCCUUAGUAACGGCGAGUGAAGCGGCAAAAGCUCAAAUUUGAAAUCGGCCACCAGGUCGAGUUGUAAUUUGUAGAUUGUAUCUUGAGAGCGGAUUAAAGUCUGUUGGAACACAGCGCCUUAGAGGGUGACAGCCCCGUAAAAUCUAUUCUCAUUGUAAGAUACUUUCGAAGAGUCGAGUUGUUUGGGAAUGCAGCUCUAAGUGGGAGGUAAAUUCCUUCUAAAGCUAAAUAUUGACGAGAGACCGAUAGCGAACAAGUACUGUGAAGGAAAGAUGAAAAGCACUUUGAAAAGAGAGUGAAAAAGUACGUGAAAUUGUUAAAAGGGAAGGGUAUUGAAUCAGACUUGGUGCUGUUGUUCAACUGUGUUUCGGCAUAGUGUACUCAGCAGUACUAGGCCAAGGUGGGGUGUUUGGGAGUGAAAAAGAAGUUGGAACGUAACUCUUCGGAGUGUUAUAGCCUACUUUCAUAGCUCCUCAGGCGGCCUCAGGACUGCGCUUCGGCAAGGACCUUGGCAUAAUGAUUCUAUACCGCCCGUCUUGAAACACGGACCAAGGAG